AUGUUGUGAGUCCUUGAGGGCGUCAGCUUUGAAGGGGCUGAAGGUUUUUAACAUU
This 55-nucleotide transfer RNA is filed under the name Blomia tropicalis. RNAcentral describes it as "tRNA-Phe". Lineage: Eukaryota; Metazoa; Arthropoda; Arachnida; Sarcoptiformes; Echimyopodidae. The record is from RNAcentral.